Molecule: ribosomal RNA, 466 nt
Filed under: uncultured Acidobacteriota bacterium
Lineage: Bacteria; Pseudomonadati; Acidobacteriota
Description: bacterial SSU rRNA
Rfam family: Bacterial small subunit ribosomal RNA
Source: RNAcentral
GGCUCAGAAUCAACGCUGCGGCGUGCCUAACACAUGCAAGUCGAACGCGAAAGUGGAGCAAUCCAUGAGUAGAGUGGCAAACGGGCGAGUAACGCGUGGGCGACCUACCUCAGAGUGGGGGAUAACCUUCCGAAAGGAGGGCUAAUACCGCAUGACAUACCGUGUUUGGAUACACGGAUAUCAAAGCCGGGGAUCGUAAGACCUGGCGCUUGGAGAGGGGCCCGCGUCCGAUUAGCUAGUUGGUGAGGUAACGGCUCACCAAGGCUCCGAUCGGUAUCCGGCCUGAGAGGGCGGACGGACACACUGGAACUGAGACACGGUCCAGACUCCUACGGGAGGCAGCAGUGGGGAAUUGUUCACAAUGGGCGCAAGCCNAAANACGCAACGCCGCGUGGAGGAUGAAGACUUUNNAGGUCGUGGACUCCUUUCGCCCGAGAUGAAUUCCCGCCGGCCUAAUAUGCCGGCG